This 311-nucleotide ribosomal RNA is filed under the name uncultured bacterium. RNAcentral's name for it is "bacterial SSU rRNA". It matches the Rfam family "Bacterial small subunit ribosomal RNA", at positions 30 to 334 of the family's 1533-position model. The record is from RNAcentral.
AUUGAACGCUGGCGGCAGGCCUAACACAUGCAAGUCGAGCGGGGAGGAGGAAGCUUGCUUCCGAAUCCUAGCGGCGGACGGGUGAGUAACGCGUGAGCAACCUGCCUCUUACAGGGGGAUAACGCAUCGAAAGAUGUGCUAAUACCGCGUAAGACCACAGCAUCACAUGGUGCAGGGGUCAAAGGAGCAAUCCGGUAAGAGAUGGGCUCGCGUCCGAUUAGCUAGUUGGCGGGAUAACAGCCCACCAAGGUGACGAUCGGUAGCCGACCUGAGAGGGUGAUCGGCCACAUUGGAACUGAGACACGGUCCAG